GUGGGGAAUAUUGGGCAAUGGGCGAAAGCCUGACCCAGCAACGCCGCGUGAGGGAAGAAGGCCUUCGGGUUGUAAACCUCUGUCCUUGGUGACGAAGAAAGUGACGGUAGCCAAGGAGGAAGCCCCGGCUAACUACGUGCCAGCAGCCGCGGUAAUACGUAGGGGGCGAGCGUUGUCCGGAAUUACUGGGCGUAAAGGGUGCGUAGGUGGCCUUUUAAGUUGGAUGUGAAAUACCCGGGCUUAACUUGGGGGGUGCAUCUAAUACUGGGAGGCUAGAGUGCAGGAGAGGGAAGCGGAAUUCCUAGUGUAGCGGUGAAAUGCGUAGAUAUUAGGAGGAACACCAGUGGCGAAGGCGGCUUUCUGGACUGUAACUGACACUGAGGCACGAAAGCGUGGGGAGCAAACAGGAUUAGAAACCCCAGUAGUCC
Molecule: ribosomal RNA, 428 nt
Filed under: uncultured bacterium
Lineage: Bacteria
Description: partial 16S ribosomal RNA
Rfam family: Bacterial small subunit ribosomal RNA
Source: RNAcentral